UGUGUGCUGGCAGUGGCGGAGCAGCAGUGGAAUGAAAGGGGAUAGUUUCUUCUUCCCUGGAAGAGUGGGGGUGGGAUCGGGAACGGCAGUGAGCUAACACACAUUUCAAGAAUGCCACACAGUCUGGGAACUGAGCUCAGUCCACCCACCACCCACACACACACACACACACACACACACACACACACUCACACACACACUCACUUUUGCCCUGCAGGGAGAUGGUGGGGUGCAGGGCGGCACAGGCAAACAUGAGGGGGGAACAAACAUUCAUUCAUUCAUUUGAACUUCAGGUUUUAGAGCUCGUGCCUCAGGGAUCAAACUCCAGACCAAGUAAAGUGGAGGAUAGCAAUUAGCUAAAAGUGCUAACGAAAUAGCUUCAAGUCAGUGGAUUUAAACCAGUGUCCUUGUGCACGUAAGAAAAACAUGUAACAGGGUUUUGCAGCAGAAAACAAGUUAGUUGCACGUGAGCACGUUGGUGUAAAAAGAAGCAGUGACUUUCUAAAAGAUGCACGUUUACUGGACGCAGUCGACUCGUGUGUUAUUUACAAGCGGGUUAUGAUUCCCAGUUAUGAGCCAAAAGUUUAAAAUAGCAAGUUAUAGUGUCACCAUCCGAGGAGCUGGUAUUUGAAACCCAAUCUGAUACAUUAAAGGGACACGCCAUUCAUUUUACAUAUGAGGAUCUGCACUUCUAUUUGAACACACACUUUGUGGCACUUUACAUGCGAACAACCGAGAGCAGCACGAUGAACGUCUUCCUGCCUGAGAUUUCAGAAAAGUUUGAAAACAGCACAGGCUCCAUUUUGGUUUGAAAUCUUCAGGGAUGGUCUGGACAGGAAGUCGUGGAGACUUCUAGGAAACCAUAGUAAAUAGAAAUGAAUGACACGUCUCCACUUUCUCCCGCUGUCCAGAUAUGAAGCCAGACCGUCCCAGAUGCAAACGCUGCCGUCUUUGACGCCAUUUGGAGCCAGAGUCUGCGCAGUGGUGACCGGGGGACGGUGCUACGGUAUCGAGGUCCUGCCGAUACAGACGCUCGACCAAUCACAAGAGGCGGGGUGUGUGACCUACACUGCAGCCAGCCACCGUCUUUAUUUACAGUCUGUGAUGGAAACAAUAACAAAGACGUUAUAUUAAAUAAGCAAGAUUAUUUCUGAUGCGGAGCUAAAAAUGUUUUCUUUACUGAGGCUGUUUUUUAAAACCUGUUGGUGUGGACGUAGCCUAAAUGUUUGGAUCCACUGAAUUCUGCUGCUUUUCAUUUUGACCACAAAAAACCCCAAAGUUUAUGAAACUCACGUAUAACUUCAGAUAUAAAGAAAUUACACCUCUUGUUUUCUGCAUCUUUGUCUUUAAGUGUGUGUGUGGAGUUCAUGUGGUGAAACCGCUGUGAAUGACGACAGAUGUCUGCAACAACUGGACGCUCGCUGAGUCAUCAGCGUGUGUGGGAAGGUGGUCAAAAACAACUGCUGUUGCACGGCCGGUCUGUUGGGGGCGCCGUGGAGUGUGGUUGGGCCCAUGGUGUGGUCCGACCCCGAUACACUGUGACUGUGUGUCGAUGCUGUUGAGUCAAGAACCUGAAUCUGGAUUUACUGUCUUAGAAAAGCAGAUCCUUUCACAGUAGAAGGAGAAGAGCCCAGGAGGAAAAACUCCAGUUUGAGCUGGAUCCUCAAAUUAUUACAUAAAAAAAGUUUCAGACGAGGAUGAGGUCGUGUCGGUGACUUCAUCUCGCAGCUUUGUCUUCUUUUCCGCCACAUCACGACAUCUGGAGCACGACAAAUGAGCCGACGGCUGGAAAAUUCAAUAUUUACUCUGCAGUUCACGGGCUGCAGCUCGUGCAGCUACGAGAGUGAAUUUGGCUGAAGAGGAACAGAGACGUUAUUACGUAAAAUAAAAAGCUGAGUUGUGGUGAAAUAAACGUAAAACUAAGACGUUAGAGGUUGUGAAAUAUAAGUUCUCACGGUGCCAAACACUCCAGAUGAUCAUUUGUUCUUCUUGUUCUUCUUGUAUUUUAGUUGUGAGGUGACGGUUGUGUGUCUGGAAUUUGAAAUGUAAAAGCUCUAACAGCCACAUGAGACGUUAUCAGCUCCUUUAUUGUGUUUUCCUGCUCCUGCAUGUUUCCUCUGUUCGCCCUUUGUCCCGGUGAUAAGUCCCCCGCAGCUGGCUCGUUCCACAUGUACACUCUUUCUUAUCGCUGCUCAAACAGCAGGGGGGGCACCUACGCUCUCCUCAAGGUCACGCACACACUCUCAACUUCCACCCGUUUACUUGUUGUUUCCAGGAAUCCAUCAGGGACGAGAGGUGACGGCAAACUGGACUUUUUCAUGUCACGGCGACAAAUGUCAUUGAGUCCAAGUUCAAAGUGACUUGUCACAUCGUCAGACGAGCUGUAGAUGAAGAGGUUCGUCUUCGCCGCUGACCCAAAUAGACGUGAAGUGUAAAAGUACACACUCGUUUUACAGGAGAGGCCUCGGAGGGAAACAACCUUCUGUGGGUACAGAAACUGUUUGACUGUACAGACUGUAGUGGACUGUAGGUGUUUGUCAUAUUGAUCUCAUCACCGUUCUCGGGAUAUGAAAUCAUGUCGGUAGUUUCUGUGAUUAUCAGGAAGCUAAACUGAUUUCAUGGCUUUUUAUAGUUUAUGACUCAUUAAAACGUUUUUCAAAGAGCAUCAAUAUUUAUACCAUGUAGAUAACUGCUCCUCACAAGUUUUCCCCCAUAUCCUCAUUUCAUUGGUUGGCCUCUAACGUUAUCCAUGAUUGUUUAUGGACAUUAGUAUGAACUCUUGAGCCGGUAAAGUCUGGUGAAUUGGCUCUGGACUCAGCACUUUGCCUUUCACACAUGCACAACACAGGGGGAGGUUUUCUGCACAGACGCGUUCACAACAGACAGAGACAGGAAGUGACAUAUUCACUCAGAAACUGCAGAGCGUCCUCCAGAGAAAAUACAGAAUAUCUGUGGAGUUCAGUUCAUGUCUGAAAGCAGCUUCAGCAGCGAAGCGCCUCAGUUCAGCUUCACUGAGCAGCAGCUGCAGACCUUGUUUAAAGUGUAUAAUUAUAUAUCUGAACAGUUGUUUCUCCUUUCAGUCUCUGUACAGUUUAAAGUUCCCACCUGAUAGUAACUCUAUUGAUCUAUGACUCGUCCACCUGGUCACUGCAGGAAUGUCCCACAUUACCACAGACACAGAACAAGCUGUGACAGCUCCGGGUUGUUUGUUGCUUCACAAGCAGUCGGGGUUCGGAUGAAAACACAUGAAAGAUGUAAUUCCACAGAGGAAUUAUAUGACUUAGCGUGUGCACGUCUGUCUGUCUGUGCACUGUGACUGUGUAACUGCCUCUAAACUCAGUGACCCAGCUGAACAAAGGCCAGAAGCUGUGAUUCGUACUGAGGCUGAACUCCGAGAGAAACUUUAUCAGAACGUUCCGACCUCAGAAUCUGAAUUAAAGUGCAGAUCCAGUAAAUUGGAUAUAAGUGGAGGUCAUGAGAGCUGGAGUCAUUUGAAUGAUAUGAGGAGAGAUUCAGGACGUGCACUUUAAAUCCCUCUGAUCUGCUCCGAAUUGGAGUUUUCUGCCUUCAAAGGGAGAAUCUGCCACGUAGGAGGAAUCCAAGUGAUUCAUGUUUCUCCUCCAGCCGACAGGCUGCCUCUCGCCGACCUGCCACAUGUACAGGAAGGGAAACCAUGGCAAUGGAGCCCUGGGUCAUGUGUGACGCCAGCAGCCUGCAUUAGCUUGUACCUAUUAAAUGUCACCGCAGGAAGCCUCCGGUAACCGGCCGUCACACAAGGUCUCAUUUCUACCUCAUCGCUGACCUCUAAUCAAUAAAGGUUCUAUGAUUAAGUAUUUGUUAUUUGAUUUGAAUGAAUGUGUAUUAUCAUUAUUUAGUUUUGUUCUUUCUUUUGGCCAUUCAUCAAAUAAAGUAUUUUGGAAAAAUA
Hippoglossus stenolepis (Pacific halibut) is the source of this 3925-nucleotide long non-coding RNA. RefSeq lists it as uncharacterized. The transcript is spliced from 2 exons. NCBI's taxonomy places the organism in Eukaryota, Metazoa, Chordata, Actinopteri, Pleuronectiformes, Pleuronectidae. The record is from RefSeq and is a predicted model, not a curated record.